GCUUGUUACACAAAAUACAUAUCUAUACGCAGCGAAAUUGUGUAUGAUUAAACUAAAGAUAAAUAUUGUUGAAUUCAAUAAUCGCUUGGUUGUUGAUUCAAAAAGAUUUUAUUGUUGUUUCUACUGAAAAACCUGAUAGAAAUAACAAUAUUAUUUUAAUUUCAACAAUAUUUCUUUUUGUUCCAAAAGUGCUUAAAUGUCAAGCAGUGUGUUCUUUUUUAUGUGUAAAAAUAUCAUAACAAUGAAAAAUAUAUUUUGUGAAACUAGGUAUUUUGCUGUUUCCUUAAACUAAUUCAAAAGGUGGAACCAUUCAUUUCUGGAGUAUUCCGGGACGUUAUAGACUUUAAUAUAUCUAUAUAUAGAACGGUAUGGCAAGCACUGGUGAAACUUUCAUUGUUAGCAGGGUUUGCUUGCUUCCACCUUCAACAAAUGAGCAAGAAAUAUGGGAAACUUAGAGCUUGCUCUCAUUCAGCAUUGCGGUUGGAAGCAGAUUUUAUAAUAAUGAUAAGUAUUAAGUGAAUAUAAUAGGGUAAUUGAGAAAUAAAAUAUAAACCGUA
Long non-coding RNA from Armigeres subalbatus, 557 nucleotides. RefSeq lists it as uncharacterized. The record is from RefSeq and is a predicted model, not a curated record. The transcript is spliced from 3 exons. Lineage: Eukaryota; Metazoa; Arthropoda; Insecta; Diptera; Culicidae.